This 342-nucleotide long non-coding RNA is filed under the name Olea europaea subsp. europaea. The record is from RNAcentral. Lineage: Eukaryota; Viridiplantae; Streptophyta; Magnoliopsida; Lamiales; Oleaceae.
UCUCAAUUUAUUUAACCAAUAUCCAACAGUAUGACCGAAAUGGCAACCGGCAAUCUAUCCGUGUUAUUUGUUAUCAUUUCCAUUGCUAUGCCAUUACUGAUAGGCAUUCUGGCCAAGGUGGCCAGAGAUUACUGUAAGAAACCAACAUCAGCAUCAUGGACUGCCUAAGGAAGGAUUAUUCUUCAACAUCAGUUUGUAUUUUUUGAGCAAUAUAGUUUUUAAGAUCCUCUUCAGCAAUAAAUUACUAAUUUAUAGCUUUGAUUAUGCUGAUAUUUGAAGAAUUGCGCCUGCUCUUUGUUUUGUAGUGUUCUAUAUAAUGUAGUUUUUAAUGUAAUAAAAUAA